GGAGAGCGCUUGCAUGGCAUGCAAGAGGUCAGCGGUUCGAUCCCGCUUACCUCCACCA
RNAcentral lists this transfer RNA (58 nucleotides) under Bordetella bronchiseptica GA96-01. Its description in RNAcentral is "tRNA-Ser". It matches the Rfam family "tRNA", at positions 17 to 71 of the family's 71-position model. From Rfam's summary of the family: Transfer RNA (tRNA) molecules are approximately 80 nucleotides in length. Lineage: Bacteria; Pseudomonadati; Pseudomonadota; Betaproteobacteria; Burkholderiales; Alcaligenaceae. The record is from RNAcentral. RNAcentral also lists the same sequence under 1 other name.